UGGCUAAGUAGCUAGUGCACACCUUAAAGGUCUUAGGUUCAAGCCAUUUCUCUCCCUUUUUUUUUCUUUUUUUUGCUUAGGUUUGAGUCACCCUAUUUUCAUUGUUUUUGUUUUUUUCCUUCUUAUUUUUGGCCCGAAAUGUUGGAUUAUUUACCCAUGCUUCCCCUAGGGUUUCAAACCCUAACUAUUUAAUCAAUCUUCUUCCAAUUGAAUUAGGUUUUCUUUCUUUUCCAAAUCCUAAAUAGAUUUCUCUUCAUCUAUUCUAUUUCUUCUCCAUUUUCUUUUUCAUCCUCUUCUGUGCAUCAAAUUUUCAUUCUAUUGCUGAGAAUUAUUUUUGUUUUCC
Molecule: long non-coding RNA, 343 nt
Filed under: Gossypium raimondii (Peruvian cotton)
Lineage: Eukaryota; Viridiplantae; Streptophyta; Magnoliopsida; Malvales; Malvaceae
Description: long non-coding RNA (GRAI_LNC004087)
Source: RNAcentral